This 323-nucleotide ribosomal RNA is filed under the name uncultured eukaryote. Its description in RNAcentral is "partial 18S ribosomal RNA". It matches the Rfam family "Eukaryotic small subunit ribosomal RNA", at positions 1470 to 1796 of the family's 1831-position model. The record is from RNAcentral.
CCCUUAGAUGUUCUGGGCCGCACGCGUGCUACACUGAGUGGAUCAGCGGGUCAGGUUGCGCGAAAGCGUUUCCUAAUCUUUAAAUCCGCUCGUGAUGGGGAUUGACGGUUGCAAUUUUCUGUCAUGAACGAGGAAUACCUUGUAAGCGCGGGUCAUCAUCCCGCGCUGAAUACGUCCCUGCCCUUUGUACACACCGCCCGUCGCUCCUACCGAUUGAAUGAUCCGAUGAAUAUCAUGGAUUGAGGAUUAUAGCAGGUUCGCCUGUCUUGAUCUUCGAGAAGUGAAGUAAAUCUUAUCAUUUAGAGGAAGGAGAAGUCGUAACA